CUCUUAUCCAGAGUGGUGGAGGGAACGGCCCAAGGAAACCCGGCAACCGAUCCGCGCCGCAGUGGUUUGCUCAAAGCCGGACACGGUGCCAAGUCCGACCCUUCGGUUCAGCCGGAGGGAAAGAUGAGAG
This 130-nucleotide non-coding RNA is filed under the name Dehalococcoidia bacterium. RNAcentral's name for it is "SAM-I sequence". It matches the Rfam family "SAM riboswitch aptamer (S box leader)". From Rfam's summary of the family: The SAM riboswitch is found upstream of a number of genes which code for proteins involved in methionine or cysteine biosynthesis in Gram-positive bacteria. The SAM riboswitch acts at the level of transcription termination control. Lineage: Bacteria; Bacillati; Chloroflexota; Dehalococcoidia. The record is from RNAcentral.